RNAcentral lists this ribosomal RNA (1474 nucleotides) under metagenome. RNAcentral describes it as "bacterial LSU rRNA". It matches the Rfam family "Bacterial large subunit ribosomal RNA", at positions 1459 to 2912 of the family's 2925-position model. The record is from RNAcentral.
AAGCGAUGGGGUGACGCAGGAAGGUAGCUGGGCCAGUCAGUGGUUGUACUGGUGUAAGAGUGUAGGCCGUGACAUAGGCAAAUCCGUGUCACAUUAAGGCUGAGACUUGAUGCAUACCCGUUGUGGGGAAUUCAGUGAUCCUAUGCUGCCGAGAAAAGCCUCUAGUGAGUUCAUACACGGCCCGUACCCCAAACCGACACAGGUGAUCAGGUAGAGAAUACCAAGGCGAUCGAGAGAACUGUGGUUAAGGAACUCGGCAAAAUGCCCCCGUAACUUCGGGAGAAGGGGGACCAUGCCCGGUGAACAUCUUCACGGUGGGAGCUGGGUGUGGUCGCAGAGACCAGAGAGAAGCGACUGUUUACUAAAAACACAGGUCCGUGCGAAGACGUAAGUCGAUGUAUACGGACUGACGCCUGCCCGGUGCUGGAAGGUUAAGAGGACCGGUUAGCCGUAAGGCGAAGCUGAGAAUUUAAGCCCCAGUAAACGGCGGUGGUAACUAUAACCAUCCUAAGGUAGCGAAAUUCCUUGUCGGGUAAGUUCCGACCUGCACGAAUGGCGUAACGACUUCUCUGCUGUCUCGACCACAGACUCGGCGAAAUUGCACUACGAGUAAAGAUGCUCGUUACGCGCGGCAGGACGAAAAGACCCCGGGACCUUUACUAUAGCUUGGUAUUGGCGUUCGAUUCGGUUUGUGUAGGAUAGGUGGGAGACUGUGAAGCAUGCACGCCAGUGUGUGUGGAGUCGUUGUUGAAAUACCACUCUGAUCGUAUUGGACGUCUAACCUCGGCCCAUGAUCUGGGUUAGGGACAGUGCCUGGUGGGUAGUUUAACUGGGGCGGUUGCCUCCUAAAGAGUAACGGAGGCGCCCAAAGGUUCCCUCAGCCUGGAUGGCAAUCAGGUGUUGAGUGCAAGUGCACAAGGGAGCUUGACUGUGAGACUGACACGUCGAGCAGGGACGAAAGUCGGGACUAGUGAUCCGGCACCGGCAAGUGGAAGCGGUGUCGCUCAACGGAUAAAAGGUACCCCGGGGAUAACAGGCUGAUCUUCCCCAAGAGUCCAUAUCGACGGGAUGGUUUGGCACCUCGAUGUCGGCUCGUCGCAUCCUGGGGCUGGAGUAGGUCCCAAGGGUUGGGCUGUUCGCCCAUUAAAGCGGCACGCGAGCUGGGUUUAGAACGUCGUGAGACAGUUCGGUCUCUAUCCGCCGCGCGCGUAAGAAACUUGAGGAAGGCUGUCCCUAGUACGAGAGGACCGGGACGGACGAACCUCUGGUGUGCCAGUUGUUCCACCAGGAGCAUGGCUGGUUAGCUACGUUCGGAAGGGAUAACCGCUGAAAGCAUCUAAGCGGGAAGCCUGUUCCAAGAUGAGGUUUCUCACCACCUUGCGUGGUUAAGGCCCCCUACAGACCAUGGGGUUGAUAGGCCGGAACUGGAAGCGCAGCAAUGCGUGGAGGUGACCGGUACUAAUAGGCCGAGGGC